AAUAAAUUACUGUUAAACCUAAGUAAAACAAAAGCUAUGAUUUUUGGUAAUUAUAAACAUAGAAAUGAAUUACAAAUUAUUAUUGAUUGUGUACAAAUUGAAAAUGUAUCAGAAAACAAAUUUCUAGGUGUAAUUAUGGACAGCAAAUUAUCAUGGAAAGCCCACAUCAGGCACAUAAAAACUAAAAUAUCUAAGAACCUCUCUAUUAUAAAUAAAGCUAAGCAGUCCCUUGUCCACCAUG
This is a long non-coding RNA of Thalassophryne amazonica, 241 nucleotides long. RefSeq lists it as uncharacterized. NCBI's taxonomy places the organism in Eukaryota, Metazoa, Chordata, Actinopteri, Batrachoidiformes, Batrachoididae. The record is from RefSeq and is a predicted model, not a curated record. The transcript is spliced from 3 exons.